RNAcentral lists this small RNA (139 nucleotides) under Klebsiella pneumoniae. Its description in RNAcentral is "partial RtT sRNA". It matches the Rfam family "RtT RNA", at positions 29 to 130 of the family's 130-position model. Rfam says of the family: This family represents a bacterial cis-regulatory element known as RtT RNA. The record is from RNAcentral. Lineage: Bacteria; Pseudomonadati; Pseudomonadota; Gammaproteobacteria; Enterobacterales; Enterobacteriaceae.
UCAAUUGGUCGCAGGUUCGAAUCCUGCACGACCCACCAAUCGUUCUGGUGGAACGCGAUAGUAAAACGUGAAGGAUAACGUUGCGUCAGCAACGGCCCGUAGGGCGAGGCGAAGCCGAGUCAUCCUGCACGACCCACCG